Ochotona curzoniae (black-lipped pika) is the source of this 107-nucleotide small nuclear RNA. NCBI's taxonomy places the organism in Eukaryota, Metazoa, Chordata, Mammalia, Lagomorpha, Ochotonidae. The record is from RefSeq and is a predicted model, not a curated record.
GUGCUCGUUUCAGCAGCACAUAUACUGAAAUUGGAACGAUGCAGAGAAGAUUAGUGUGGCCCGUGCAAAAGGAUGGCAUGCAAAGUUGUGAAGCAUUUCAUAUUUUU